GAUGAACGCUGGCGGCGUGCCUAAUACAUGCAAGUCGAGCGAACAGACGAGGAGCUUGCUCCUCUGACGUUAGCGGCGGACGGGUGAGUAACACGUGGAUAACCUACCUAUAAGACUGGGAUAACUUCGGGACACCGGAGCUAAUCCCGGAUAAUAUAUUGAACCGCAUGGUUCAAUAGUGAAAGACGGUUUUGCUGUCACUUAUAGCUGGAUCCGCGCUGCAUUAGCUAGUUGUUAAGGUAACGGCUUACCAAGGCAACGAUGCGUAGCCGACGGGAGAGGGUGAUCGGCCACACUGGAGCUGAGACACGGUCCAGACGCCUACGGGAGGCAGCAGUAGGGAAUCUUACGCAAUGGGCGAAAGCCUGACGGAGCAACGCCGCGUGAGUGAUGAAGGUCUUCGGAGCGUAAAACUCUGUUAUUAGGGAAGAACAAAUGUGUAAGUAACUAUGCACGUCUUGACGGUACCUAAUCAGAAAGCCACGGCUAACUACGUG
Molecule: ribosomal RNA, 497 nt
Filed under: uncultured bacterium
Lineage: Bacteria
Description: partial 16S ribosomal RNA
Rfam family: Bacterial small subunit ribosomal RNA
Source: RNAcentral